GCUAAUCAUGGGCAAGUCCAGCGGCGCCAGUUUCCUCAGUAAAUUCAAAGGACUUACUCGGAGUGGACGAGCCCACAAGGUUCCCUCCCGACUAUGCGAGGAUGACACCUCAUAGGGAGGUGGAGGGGUCGGGGGAGGAGACCCUAGAGGAGGAGGCGGUGGGGGAGAGCCCCUAGAGGAGGAGGCGGUGGGGGGAGAGGCAGCCGGGGCAAAAAACUCCGGGCCGUGUCCGAAAUAGGAGGGUCUUCUUCGAUGCCCUCCUAUACAGAGGCACCUUCUGAGUCUGAGGAGGAGGAGUAUGUUCCUGAUGGUGAGGAGGAGGAGGCCGAGGAGGAGGAGGUCGAGGAGGAGGGUGAGGAGGAGGGCGAGGAGGGUGGUGGAGGGGAGGUUGAUCCCGAGUUGUGGGGUGACUUGCCACCCGGUGCUCCGCAGGGGUGGCUGCGUGGUAAUGCCGGACUACCUACACCACCUUCUAUCGAGGCGCACAAGUGGCUCAUUGAACCUGCGGGGACAGAAACCUGGAUCCUUCGCGGAAAGGGCCGUAAACCGAGCGGCCUUAUCACUGUCCUGUUGAAGGAGUUUUGGCCUGGCCUAUUCUGCCCGCGGCCAGACAGGGACCCGCAGCUGCGGGUUUUGGCCACGAGCUGGGCCCACUACGAGGCUUGCAGCAACGCGGAGUACGGGACGGCCGCUAAGGCCGUGAUCACCAAAUUUUGGCAACUCUAUAGAGUUCUUGAUGAGCACAAGGCCAGAGCCGACUUAGUCUUGCUUGCGGCUGCGAAGAAGAAAGCUCGUCAGUUGUAGUACGAGGUGCGCUGGGUUGCCGUCUCGUAGUACUACCACAUCUACCUGCAACAAAAGAUGACCAAAACUCAAGCGCAGAAGCAACGACUUACCUUGAACAGGGAGCAGUUCAUGAUGGUUGUUCCUCGUUGGUGCUAUGGAAGGCAUGAUGGAUGGGCGAGUUUGGUGGAUAGGUGGCUCGGCGACGAUGCAGAGUUUGCUGCCAAGAGCAUCAAGGCCCGGGCUAACUGUGGAAAAGACGGGACACACGGCCAAGGAAACAGGAACCACCGGGUCUUCAUGGCCAUGAAGAUAUAUCUAUAUGCAUGAUGCAUUUUUGUUCUUCUUUACCGUCAUGUUCUUAUGUAUGGCUAACUUCUAUUUGACGUUGCAGGAGGACAAGUUGAAGAGGCCGCUCUCAGACAUUGAGUCAUGGAAGCUGGCCCGCGAGCGGAGUCAUCCCAAGGAGGGAGAGAGCCAGUACUACGGCAAGACCGAGGAGCACCUGGAGUCUUACACUCAGCACUAUCAGAAGUUGCAUCCGGAUGUUCCUGAGGUCGCCCAGUCUCAGAUCAACGACACAGUGGUGGUGGCCAUCCAGGGGAAGUCACAUGACCGGUAUCCAUGUUUCGAUGGCUUGAUCACUCCUUCGAUCUCGUACACAUGGCUUCGGUCUACCAACCCGAGCCAGUUAGAGAGUACGAGGUGUUCACAGACUCCCUUAGCCCGCCAGCAUGCUAUAAGCAUAUAAGGCCUUUGUCGAGCAUAGGAAUCUCGAGGUGCGAGAGUACUUGCAACGAGUGAAGGCAAACGAUGAUUACAACCGUCAGAUGAUGGCAGCUAUGUUGGCGUCUUGGAGUAACUGCACGGAUCCUCCACAAAUGGGACCCCCACCACCACCUGCGGGAGAACCCCCACACGUGCCCACGUUCGAUGAAUGGGUGGCACUAGGAAGUGAUAGUCCGGGGACCGGUGGCUCGACUCCUGCUCCGUCGACCCUAGUCACUCCGAUCUUCCAGAGUGAUGGUGGUCGCGGUGGCGGUUUUGGCGGAGGUGGUCUUAGCGGUGGUGCUUUUGGCGAAAAGGUGGUCUUGGUGGUGGUGCUUUUGGCGGAGGUGGUCUUGGUGGUGGUGGUUUUGGCGGAGGUGGUCUUGUUUGAUGUCGAUGAUGAUUCCGUGCAUUUGGCCGUCAUGCCAUGCCUUUCAUGUUCCUACUUUUAUUAUGUUCCAUGUCUUGCACUUGUUUUAUGUUCAUGAACUUUCGCUAGUGAUGAUCUUUAGAUGAUGAUGAUGAACUUGAGUAUGUUUAGAUGA
Molecule: non-coding RNA, 2096 nt
Organism: Triticum urartu
Lineage: Eukaryota; Viridiplantae; Streptophyta; Magnoliopsida; Poales; Poaceae
Source: RefSeq, a predicted model, not a curated record